This 114-nucleotide ribosomal RNA is filed under the name Escherichia coli. Lineage: Bacteria; Pseudomonadati; Pseudomonadota; Gammaproteobacteria; Enterobacterales; Enterobacteriaceae. The record is from RNAcentral.
UCCGGUGCNUAGCGCGGUGGUCCCACCUGACCCCAUGCCGAACUCAGAAGUGAAACGCCGUAGCGCCGAUGGUAGUGUGGGGUCUCCCCAUGCGAGAGUAGGGAACUGCCAGGC